AGUGAACGCUGGCGGUAGGCCUAACACAUGCAAGUCGAACGGCAGCACAGUAAGAGCUUGCUCUUACGGGUGGCGAGUGGCGGACGGGUGAGGAAUACAUCGGAAUCUACUUUUUCGUGGGGGCUAACGUAGGGAAACUUACGCUAAUACCGCAUACGACCUACGGGUGAAAGCAGGGGAUCUUCGGACCUUGCGCGAUUGAAUGAGCCGAUGUCGGAUUAGCUAGUUGGCGGGGUAAAGGCCCACCAAGGCGACGAUCCGUAGCUGGUCUGAGAGGAUGAUCAGCCACACUGGAACUGAGACACGGUCCAGACUCCUACGGGAGGCAGCAGUGGGGAAUAUUGGACAAUGGGCGAAAGCCUGAUCCAGCCAUACCGCGUGGGUGAAGAAGGCCUUCGGGUUGUAAAGCCCUUUUGUUGGGAAAGAAAAGCAGCAGGUUAAUACCCCGCUGUUCUGACGGUACCCAAAGAAUAAGCACCGGCUAACUUCGUG
RNAcentral lists this ribosomal RNA (492 nucleotides) under uncultured bacterium. RNAcentral's name for it is "partial 16S ribosomal RNA". It matches the Rfam family "Bacterial small subunit ribosomal RNA", at positions 29 to 507 of the family's 1533-position model. The record is from RNAcentral.